RNAcentral lists this ribosomal RNA (681 nucleotides) under Triticum aestivum (bread wheat). Its description in RNAcentral is "partial small subunit ribosomal RNA". The record is from RNAcentral. Lineage: Eukaryota; Viridiplantae; Streptophyta; Magnoliopsida; Poales; Poaceae.
AUGGCGCUCGCGCCGCCCUGCUUGCCGCCGCGGGCGUUGACGAUGCAGAUCAUCCGCAUCACCUCGUCGGCGUCCGGGGCCAGCGCCACGGUGCGGCACUUCCACAGGCUUCCCGUGAGGACCUCGAACGUGGUGGCGCGCUUCCGGAGGCCCGGCGCCAGGUGGGACCGGAUGGCGGCGACCUCCCGGGCCCCGAAGAAGAAGGAGCGGUGCGCCAUCUCGUCGAGCGGCACGAUGGUGCCCUUGGUGUCCGGCACCUCGUCGUACUCCCGGUGCGCGAAGCCAGGGCGCGGCGGGUUCCGCGCCUCCAGCAGCUCCCGCUCCCACACCGGCCGCAGCGACGGCGCCGCCGCGCCUCGCGCCAGCUCCGCCACGGCGGCCAGGAACUGCACCAGCCCCUGCGCGUCCGCCAUCGUGUGCAUCAGCCGCACCGCCAGGAUGAAGCCUCCACACAAAGGCAAAGUUACCUGAAAGAGGAGGAGCGGGGUUCCGAGGACUUCGGACGAGCCAGGGACGUCGAAGAUGAGCUCCUCGAGUCCCGGGAAGGGCGGCUGCAGAGCGUCGCCGAAGUGCUCCAGACGCACGUCGGCAUCGGCCUCAAUGAAAAGCACGCCCUCGCCAGUGCAGUCGACGGCGAGCUUGCGCCCUUCGAGCUCCCUCAGCCGGCCGGCGAACGGGUAG